RNAcentral lists this ribosomal RNA (301 nucleotides) under uncultured bacterium. RNAcentral describes it as "partial 16S ribosomal RNA". It matches the Rfam family "Bacterial small subunit ribosomal RNA", at positions 509 to 809 of the family's 1533-position model. The record is from RNAcentral.
CAGUAGCCGCGGGAAUACAGAGGGUGCGAGCGUUAAUCGGAUUUACUGGGCGUAAAGCGUGCGUAGGCGGCUUCUUAAGUCGGAUGUGAAAUCCCUAAGCUUAACUUAGGAAUUGCAUUCGAUACUGGGAAGCUAGAGUAUGGGAGAGGAUGGUAGAAUUCCAGGUGUAGCGGUGAAAUGCGUAGAGAUCUGGAGGAAUACCGAUGGCGAAGGCAGCCAUCUGGCCUAAUACUGACGCUGAGGUACGAAAGCAUGGGGAGCAAACAGGAUUAGAUACCCGCGUAGUCCCUGUCUCUUAUAA